GACGAACGCUGGCGGCAGGCCUAAAACAUGCAAGUCGAGCGAGGUAGCAAUACCUAGCGGCGGACGGGUGUGUAACGCGUGGGGACGUGCCCUUUGCUACGGAAUAGCCCUGGGAAACGGGGAGUAAUACCGUAUGUGCCCUUCGGGGGGAAGAUUUAUCGGGAAAGGAUCGGCCCGCGUGGGAUUAGGUAGUUGGUGUGGUAAUGGCAUACCACGCCGACGAUCCAUAGCUGGUUUGAGAGGAUGAUCAGCCACACUGGGACUGAGACACGGCCCAGACUCCUACGGGAGGCAGCAGUGGUGAAUCUUGGACAAUGGGCGCAAGCCUGAUCUAGCCAUGCCGCGUGGGCGAUGAAGGCCUUAGGGUUGUAAAGCUCUUUCGUGGGGGAAGAUAAUGACUGUACCCCAAGAAGAAGCCCCGGCUAACUCCGUGCCAGCCGCCGCUGUAA
RNAcentral lists this ribosomal RNA (449 nucleotides) under uncultured bacterium. Its description in RNAcentral is "partial 16S ribosomal RNA". It matches the Rfam family "Bacterial small subunit ribosomal RNA", at positions 28 to 523 of the family's 1533-position model. The record is from RNAcentral.